Molecule: ribosomal RNA, 492 nt
Filed under: uncultured bacterium
Lineage: Bacteria
Description: partial 16S ribosomal RNA
Rfam family: Bacterial small subunit ribosomal RNA
Source: RNAcentral
AGUGAACGCUGGCGGUAGGCCUAACACAUGCAAGUCGAACGGCAGCACAGUAAGAGUUCGCUCUUACGGGUGGCGAGUGGCGGACGGGUGAGGAAUACAUCGGAAUCUACUAUUUCGUGGGGGACAACGUAGGGAAACUUACGCUAAUACCGCAUAUGACCUACGGGUGAAAGCAGGGGAUCUUCGGACCUUGCGCGAUUGAAUGAGCCGAUGCCGGAUUAGCUAGUUGGGGGGGUAAAGGCCCACCAAGGCGACGAUCCGUAGCUGAUCUGAGAGGAUGAUCAGCCACACUGGAACUGAGACACGGUCCAGACUCCUACGGGAGGCAGCAGUGGGGAAUAUUGGACAAUGGGCGCAAGCCUGAUCCAGCCAUACCGCGUGGGUGAAGAAGGCCUUCGGGUUGUAAAGCCCUUUUGUUGGGAAAGAAAAGCAGCAGGUUAAUCCCCCGCUGUUCUGACGGUACCCAAUGAACAAGCACCGGCUAACUUCGUG